RNAcentral lists this unclassified non-coding RNA (272 nucleotides) under Hevea brasiliensis (rubber tree). Lineage: Eukaryota; Viridiplantae; Streptophyta; Magnoliopsida; Malpighiales; Euphorbiaceae. The record is from RNAcentral.
GCAGCCAGCGCCAGCCGCUCCGCCGGCGGCGACUCCAGGUCCAGAUGCAGCACAUACCGAUUAGCCGGAUGAUACAGGGCGCGCAACGUCCGCUGGAUACUUCCACCGUCUCCGGCGGAGCCAGAGAUCAGGUACGCGAGGCGGGGAACCGCCGCCACUACCGCCGCCGGCGGAGGCAGGCGGAGCUUCGAUUCGACGAAGAGACUGUUGUCCGGGUUCGAUGAGAUCUGCGAGAAGGAGAGGAGGAGGAGCGUGUGGGCGGAUGCGGCGGA